AAACCAGCACCUCAAGUGGUCAGGAUGAUUAUUGGGCCUAAAGCAUCCGUAGCCGGUUUUGUAAGUUUUCGGUUAAAUCCAUACGCUCAACGUAUGGGCUGCCGGGAAUACUGCAAAACUAGGGAGUGGGAGAGGUAGACGGUACUCGGGAGGAAGGGGUAAAAUCCUUUGAUCUCUCGAUGACCACCUGUGGCGAAGGCGGUCUACCAGAACACGUCCGACGGUGAGGGAUGAAAGCUGGGGGAGCAAACCGGAUUAGAAACCCGGGUAGUCC
RNAcentral lists this ribosomal RNA (274 nucleotides) under uncultured bacterium. Its description in RNAcentral is "partial 16S ribosomal RNA". It matches the Rfam family "Archaeal small subunit ribosomal RNA", at positions 473 to 747 of the family's 1478-position model. The record is from RNAcentral.